Molecule: ribosomal RNA, 492 nt
Filed under: uncultured bacterium
Lineage: Bacteria
Description: partial 16S ribosomal RNA
Rfam family: Bacterial small subunit ribosomal RNA
Source: RNAcentral
AUUGAACGCUGGCGGCAUGCUUUACACAUGCAAGUCGAACGGUAACAGGCCUUCGGGUGCUGACGAGUGGCGAACGGGUGAGUAAUGCAUCGGAACGUACCCAGAGGUGGGGGAUAACGCAGCGAAAGCUGUGCUAAUACCGCAUGUGAUCUGAGGAUGAAAGCGGGGGACCGAGCAGCAAUGUUUGGCCUCGCGCCUUUGGAGCGGCCGAUGUCGGAUUAGCUAGUUGGUGGGGUAAAGGCCUACCAAGGCGACGAUCCGUAGCUGGUCUGAGAGGACGACCAGCCACACUGGGCCUGAGCCACGGCCCAGACUCCUACGGGAGGCAGCAGUGGGGAAUUUUGGACAAUGGGCGCAAGCCUGAUCCAGCAAUGCCGCGUGCGGGAAGAAGGCCUUCGGGUUGUAAACCGCUUUUGGCAGGAACGAAACGGUGUCCGCUAAUACCGGGCGCUAAUGACGGUACCUGCAGAAUAAGCACCGGCUAACUACGUG